UUAAUACUCCCUCCAUCCCAAAAUUCUUGUCUUAAAUUUGUCUAGAUACGGAUGUAUCUAACACUAGAUACAUCCGUUAUUUGGACGGAUCUAAGACAAGAAUUUUGGGACGGAGGGAGUACUAG
Molecule: non-coding RNA, 125 nt
Organism: Triticum aestivum (bread wheat)
Lineage: Eukaryota; Viridiplantae; Streptophyta; Magnoliopsida; Poales; Poaceae
Source: Rfam